GAUCAUGGCUCAGAUUGAACGCUGGCGGCAGGCCUAACACAUGCAAGUCGAACGGUAACAGGAAACAGCUUGCUGUUUCGCUGACGAGUGGCGGACGGGUGAGUAAUGUCUGGGAAACUGCAUGAUGGGAGGGGGAUAACUACUGGAAACGGUAGCUAAUACCGCAUAAUGUCGCAAGACCAAAGAGGGGGACCUCGGGCCGUCUUGCCAUCGGAUGUGCCCAGAUGGGAGUUAG
This 235-nucleotide ribosomal RNA is filed under the name uncultured bacterium. RNAcentral's name for it is "partial 16S ribosomal RNA". It matches the Rfam family "Bacterial small subunit ribosomal RNA", at positions 15 to 248 of the family's 1533-position model. The record is from RNAcentral.